GACGAACGCUGGCGGCGUGCUUAACACAUGCAAGUCGAACGGAAGGGCCCUGCUUUUGUGGGGUGCUCGAGUGGCGAACGGGUGAGUAACACGUGAGUAACCUGCCCUUGACUUUGGGAUAACUUCAGGAAACUGGGGCUAAUACCGGAUAGGAGCUCCUGCUGCAUGGUGGGGGUUGGAAAGUUUCGGCGGUUGGGGAUGGACUCGCGGCUUAUCAGCUUGUUGGUGGGGUAGUGGCUUACCAAGGCUUUGACGGGUAGCCGGCCGGAGAGGGUGACCGGACACAUUGGGACUGAGAUAAGGCCCAGACUCCUACGGGAGGCAGCAGUGGGGAAUAUUGCACAAUGGGCGGAAGCCUGAUGCAGCAACGCCGCGUGCGGGAUGACGGCCUUCGGGUUGUAAACCGCUUUCGCCUGUGACGAAGCGUGAGUGACGGUAAUGGGUAAAGAAGCACCGGCUAACUACGUG
This 468-nucleotide ribosomal RNA is filed under the name uncultured bacterium. Its description in RNAcentral is "partial 16S ribosomal RNA". It matches the Rfam family "Bacterial small subunit ribosomal RNA", at positions 28 to 507 of the family's 1533-position model. The record is from RNAcentral.